GACGAACGCUGGCGGCGUGCCUAAUACAUGCAAGUUGAGCGCUGAAGGUUGGUACUUGUACCAACUGGAUGAGCAGCGAACGGGUGAGUAACGCGUGGGGAAUCUGCCUUUGAGCGGGGGACAACAUUUGGGAACGAAUGCUAAUACCGCAUAAAAACUUUAAACACAAGUUUUAAGUUUGAAAGAUGCAAUUGCAUCACUCAAAGAUGAUCCCGCGUUGUAUUAGCUAGUUGGUGAGGUAAAGGCUCACCAAGGCGAUGAUACAUAGCCGACCUGAGAGGGUGAUCGGCCACAUUGGGACUGAGACACGGCCCAAACUCCUACGGGAGGCAGCAGUAGGGAAUCUUCGGCAAUGGACGAAAGUCUGACCGAGCAACGCCGCGUGAGUGAAGAAGGUUGUCGGAUCGUAAAACUCUGUUGGUAGAGAAGAACGUUGGUGAGAGUGGAAAGCUCAUCAAGUGACGGUAACUACCCAGAAAGGGACGGCUAACUACGUG
This 497-nucleotide ribosomal RNA is filed under the name uncultured bacterium. RNAcentral's name for it is "partial 16S ribosomal RNA". It matches the Rfam family "Bacterial small subunit ribosomal RNA", at positions 28 to 507 of the family's 1533-position model. The record is from RNAcentral.